Non-coding RNA from Picea glauca (white spruce), 121 nucleotides. The record is from Rfam. Lineage: Eukaryota; Viridiplantae; Streptophyta; Pinopsida; Pinales; Pinaceae.
GCAUGCCUACGAUUUAGUGUUAAUGCAUUUGAUCCCAUUAGAACUCUACAGCUAACCGCACUUGGGCUAGAGUAGUAUUGGCAUGGGUGACCUCCCAGGAAGUCCUAGUAUUUUACAUGCC